UGGCAAUAGCCAAUGCAUUAAUAUGAUGCAAUAUCAAAGUAGAAUAAAAUUCUGGGUAGACUAUGAUAAUGACAUUAUCUAUCUAUGAGUCUUGACCAAACUACGUGCCAGCWGUCGCGGUAAAACGUUAAAGACAAGUGUUAUUCAUGUUUAAUCGGUUUAAAGAGUCCCAAGACUGUUAAUAAAGCCCGUAAAGGGGACACAUUAACUAGAGUUAUAUGAAAAGGGGCUCUAAGGUACUGUCAUGUUUAGAGAUAAAAUUCCAAUACAGAUAAUGGCACCAUCAAAUGCGAACGCAUCCCCUUAUGUAAUAACUGACGUUGUCGGACGAAGGCUUAGAGAAGAAAAAUGGAUUAGAUACCCUCGUAUUCUAAGCAGAAAAUGAUGAAUGUCAUAGGUUGAAUAGAAUAAUACCGUAUUAUUAUUCUUUUUGUCUAUAAAUGAAAGUGUAAGCAUUCCACCUCAAGAGUAAUUUGGCAACAUUGGAACUGAAAUCAUUAGGCCGUUUUUGAAACCAGUAGUGAAGUAUGUUGUUUAAUUAGAUAACCCGCACAAAACCUUACCACUAUUUGAAUAAAUAUUUUUAGAUAUAUUUACAAUUGUUGCACGGUUGUCUUCAGUUAAUGUCGUGAGACAGGGUUACUCCUAACAAUCAACGCAAACCCUUACUUUAUUUUUAUAUAAAGUUGUUCACCUAUAAUGGGAGAUGCUAACAGGGACUAUGACAAAUCAUCAUGACUAAAAUAUAGUGGGCUAUA
This 758-nucleotide ribosomal RNA is filed under the name Nephroma sipeanum. RNAcentral describes it as "SSU rRNA". It matches the Rfam family "Bacterial small subunit ribosomal RNA", at positions 383 to 1218 of the family's 1533-position model. The record is from RNAcentral. Lineage: Eukaryota; Fungi; Ascomycota; Lecanoromycetes; Peltigerales; Nephromataceae.